RNAcentral lists this ribosomal RNA (520 nucleotides) under uncultured Glomus. RNAcentral describes it as "SSU rRNA". It matches the Rfam family "Eukaryotic small subunit ribosomal RNA", at positions 569 to 1093 of the family's 1831-position model. Lineage: Eukaryota; Fungi; Glomeromycota; Glomeromycetes; Glomerales; Glomeraceae. The record is from RNAcentral.
AGCAGCCGCGGUAAUUCCAGCUCCAAUAGCGUAUAUUAAAGUUGUUGCAGUUAAAAAGCUCGUAGUUGAAUUUCGGGAUUAAUUUAUUGGUCGUGCUAUUGUACGUACUGGUAUUAUUGAUUCCUACCUUCUGACGAACCACGAUGUCAUUAAUUUGGUGUCAUGGGGAAUCAGGACUGUUACUUUGAAAAAUUAGAGUGUUUAAAGCAGGCUCACGCUUGAAUACAUUAGCAUGGAAUAACGAAAUAGGACGUUUGAUUCUAUUUUGUUGGUUUCUAGGAUCGACGUAAUGAUUAAUAGGGAUAGUUGGGGGCAUUAGUAUUCAAUUGUCAGAGGUGAAAUUCUUGGAUUUAUUGAAGACUAACUACUGCGAAAGCAUUUGCCAAGGAUGUUUUCAUUAAUCAAGAACGAAAGUUAGGGGAUCGAAGACGAUCAGAUACCGUCGUAGUCUUAACCAUAAACUAUGCCGACUAGGGAUCGGAUGAUGUUAAUUUUUAAUGACUCAUUCGGCGCCUUACGG